This 361-nucleotide long non-coding RNA is filed under the name Brassica napus (rape). Its description in RNAcentral is "long non-coding RNA (BNAP_LNC017928)". Lineage: Eukaryota; Viridiplantae; Streptophyta; Magnoliopsida; Brassicales; Brassicaceae. The record is from RNAcentral.
UCCAAUACCAUCCUGAGAAAGAUUUGGAUAGGUAAUCAUCAUCUGAAUCUCGAUUUUUCUCCUCCUGGAUCUUGUCUCUCUCUCUCAACAAACUUUGACGAACAUGGUCUUCAUUAUCUGAGCCGCUUUUUACUUUCCGAUUCAUAAUCUCCACUGGAUGGGUAGGUGUAGACAACUUUUUUUUUUUUUUUACUGAGAUCACUCGGUGGCUUGUGCAAAAUGAGCUUUGGCUCUCUCACGUCCUUCCUCAACUCUGACACAUGAAACACAUCAUGAAAGUCUGACAGCUCUGGUGAUAACUGCAAUCUAAAAGCUAUUGCUCAAAUCAGCUCCACAAAGGUACGGUCCCAUAUACGCAGCU